UAGGGAAUCUUCCACAAUGGACGCAAGUCUGAUGGAGCAACGCCGCGUGAGUGAAGAAGGUUUUCGGAUCGUAAAGCUCUGUUGUUGGUGAAGAAGGAUAGAGGUAGUAACUGGCCUUUAUUUGAUGGUAAUCAACCAGAAAGUCACGGCUAACUACGUGCCAGCAGCCGCGGUAAUACGUAGGUGGCAAGCGUUGUCCGGAUUUAUUGGGCGUAAAGCGAGCGCAGGCGGAAGAAUAAGUCUGAUGUGAAAGCCCUCGGCUUAACCGAGGAACUGCAUCGGAAACUGUUUUUCUUGAGUGCAGAAGAGGAGAGUGGAAUUCCAUGUGUAGCGGUGGAAUGCGUAGAUAUAUGGAAGAACACCAGUGGCGAAGGCGACUCUCUGGUCUGCAACUGACGCUGAGGCUCGAAAGCAUGGGUAGCGAACAGG
This 429-nucleotide ribosomal RNA is filed under the name bacterium. Its description in RNAcentral is "partial 16S ribosomal RNA". It matches the Rfam family "Bacterial small subunit ribosomal RNA", at positions 355 to 776 of the family's 1533-position model. The record is from RNAcentral.